Molecule: microRNA precursor, 76 nt
Filed under: Schistosoma margrebowiei
Lineage: Eukaryota; Metazoa; Platyhelminthes; Trematoda; Strigeidida; Schistosomatidae
Description: mir-3492 microRNA precursor family
Rfam family: mir-3492 microRNA precursor family
Source: Rfam by way of RNAcentral
GGCAUACGUAACCGUGCUGAGAUUUCGUCACACACCAGACCACAAGGGCUGAUGAGGCUUCCAGAUAAGUGAAGCG